UAGGGAAUCUUCCGCAAUGGGCGAAAGCUUGACGGAGCAACGCCGCGUGAGUGAUGAAGGUCUUCGGAUCGUAAAACUCUGUUAUUAGGGAAGAACAAAUGUGUAAGUAACUAUGCACGUCUUGACGGUACCUAAUCAGAAAGCCACGGCUAACUACGUGCCAGCAGCCGCGGUAAUACGUAGGUGGCAAGCGUUAUCCGGAAUUAUUGGGCGUAAAGCGCGCGUAGGCGGUUUUUUAAGUCUGAUGUGAAAGCCCACGGCUCAACCGUGGAGGGUCAUUGGAAACUGGAAAACUUGAGUGCAGAAGAGGAAAGUGGAAUUCCAUGUGUAGCGGUGAAAUGCGCAGAGAUAUGGAGGAACACCAGUGGAGAAGGCGACUGUCUGGUCUGUAACUGACGCUGAUGUGCGAAAGCGUGGGGAUCAAACAGG
This 429-nucleotide ribosomal RNA is filed under the name Actinomycetes bacterium. RNAcentral describes it as "Actinobacteria bacterium partial 16S ribosomal RNA". It matches the Rfam family "Bacterial small subunit ribosomal RNA", at positions 355 to 776 of the family's 1533-position model. Lineage: Bacteria; Bacillati; Actinomycetota; Actinomycetes. The record is from RNAcentral.